This is a small nuclear RNA of Suncus etruscus (white-toothed pygmy shrew), 107 nucleotides long. Lineage: Eukaryota; Metazoa; Chordata; Mammalia; Eulipotyphla; Soricidae. The record is from RefSeq and is a predicted model, not a curated record.
GUGCUCGCUUUGGCAGCACAUAUACUAAAAUUAGAAUGACACAGAGAUGAUUAACAUGACCCCAGCACAAGAAUUAUAUGCAAAUUUGUGAAGCGCUCCAUAUUUAA